CCCUACGGGGCGCAGCAGGCAAUGGCUGUAGAGGCCCCGGGGGUCGCCCCUGUGCAGCAGGAAGUCCAGGUGUUCCGCCACAAUGCGGCGCAGCGGGGCGGGUGCCAGAGGGGCAUCGAGCAAACGAGCCAACAGGGCUUCGACCGGCUGUUCCGCACGCUGGAAACGUUCCAUAAAGCUAUCCGGGGUCAAUUCGAUAAAAAAGACGUUCUCCUCGGGAACCUGCGCCCGUUUCGCCGCCUCGGCGACCGCCGUUUGCAGAUUGCCCAUCUGGUCGACCAGACCCAGUUUCAAUGCCGUCUCACCAUCCCAGACCCGUCCUUCCGCGACCUUUUCCACCGCCGCCUUGCUCAUCUUCCGUCCCUUGGCAACGAUGUCGAUGAAUUGGCGGGGGGGC
Molecule: ribosomal RNA, 397 nt
Filed under: uncultured prokaryote
Description: partial 16S ribosomal RNA
Source: RNAcentral